GUCACCAAGGACGUCUGCCCAGUCAUCUUCCAUGACAACUUCAUCAUUACUGAAGAACAUGGCAAAAUUUCAGAGAAGCGUGUCACUGAUCUUCAGUUGGAAGAUUUCCUCCAGUAUGGCCCACAAAACAAGCAAGGCAAGAAUGGGAAGCCUUUGCUGCGGAAAAUGAAGGACGGUCGGGUGUUGAAUUGGAACGUCCAGUCAGAUGAUCCUCUUUGCACCCUUCAAGAAGCAUUCGAGAAGGUCAAUCCAAGAUUGGGCUUCAAUGUCGAGCUGAAAUUCGAUGACAAUCUUGUGUACCAAGAUGAGGAGCUUACUCACAUCCUCCAGGCCAUCCUCAAGGUGGUCUUCGAGUGUGCCAAGGAUAGGCCCAUCAUUUUUUCUAGCUUCCAGCCCGAUGCUGCGCAGCUCAUGCGAAAACUGCAGAGCACAUACCCUGUGUACUUCUUAACGAACGGAGGGACGGAAAUCUACGCCGACGUGAGGAGGAACUCGUUGGAAGAGGCGGUCAAGCUGUGCCUUGCCAGCGGCAUGCAAGGGAUCGUGUCCGAGGCCCGCGCCGUCUUCAGGUUCCCGACCGCUAUACCCAAGAUCAAGGAGGCUGACCUCUCCCUACUAACUUACGGCACUCUCAAUAACGUGCCGGAGGCGGUGUACAUGCAGCACCUGAUGGGGGUGAACGGGGUCAUCGUCGACCUCGUGCCGGAGAUCACUGGGGCUGUCUCUGAUCUCAUCGCCCUCCCGGAGACCGAUACAGAGAUCAAUGAUCUGAGCGGCAAGGUGGUGAAAGAUGCCGCAUCGACGCCGAAUUUCACACAGCGGGAGAUCUCGUUCCUGCUGAGGCUGAUGCCAGAGCUUGUGCAAUAG
This 867-nucleotide ribosomal RNA is filed under the name Triticum aestivum (bread wheat). RNAcentral describes it as "partial small subunit ribosomal RNA". Lineage: Eukaryota; Viridiplantae; Streptophyta; Magnoliopsida; Poales; Poaceae. The record is from RNAcentral.